UGUUUCAACCAUAUCACCCUGCAGCCCGAGACUGGUCACCUACUGAAGCUAAUCAGGGUUGAUCCUGGUCAGUACCUGGAUGGGAAACCUCCUGGGAAAACUUUAAAAAAUAGAAAGUUGAGAAAA
This 126-nucleotide ribosomal RNA is filed under the name Sinocyclocheilus rhinocerous. Lineage: Eukaryota; Metazoa; Chordata; Actinopteri; Cypriniformes; Cyprinidae. The record is from RNAcentral.